This is a long non-coding RNA of Papilio polytes (common Mormon), 357 nucleotides long. RefSeq lists it as uncharacterized. The record is from RefSeq and is a predicted model, not a curated record. NCBI's taxonomy places the organism in Eukaryota, Metazoa, Arthropoda, Insecta, Lepidoptera, Papilionidae. The transcript has 3 exons.
UAGGAAAGGAUUAUGUGAACUUUAUAGUUAAAGACUUCAAUAAUUUGGAUCUACCGUUUGUGGACCUUGUUGACCGCAACACUACACCGCGUAUGCCGUGGCACGAUGUAGGCGUGGUUGUACAACAAGAGGCCGCCCGCGACGUCGCUCAACACUUUAUACAACGUUGGAAUGCGGUCAAAUUAGAGAAAUACAGACAAAACUUUAGUUACCCAUAUUUGUUACCGAAGAUAAAUAGCGAAAUAAAACCGUUGCAAGGUUUGAAGGAAUUGCUCAAUAUUGAUAUUAACAAUGCGUCUUGUCAAGUAAGUUAAUUUUCCUCACUCUUAUAAUUCUAUCCACUUUAAGUAUAGAGAA